Molecule: transfer RNA, 84 nt
Filed under: Thermoplasmatota archaeon
Lineage: Archaea; Methanobacteriati; Thermoplasmatota
Description: Candidatus Thermoplasmatota archaeon tRNA-Leu
Rfam family: tRNA
About the family: Transfer RNA (tRNA) molecules are approximately 80 nucleotides in length.
Source: RNAcentral
GCGAGGGUAGCCAAGCCUGGUCAACGGCGCUAGAUUCAGGGUCUAGUCCUUAGUGGUUCCCGAGUUCGAAUCUCGGCCCUCGCA